CCUACGGGAGGCAGCAGUGAGGAAUCUUGCGCAAUGGGCGAAAGCCUGACGCAGCCACGCCGCGUGCCGGAUGAAGGCCCUAUGGGUUGUAAACGGCUUUUACUAGGGAAGAACGAGAGGGUUUCGAUCUUCUGUGACGGUACCUAGUGAAUAAGCACCGGCUAACUCCGUGCCAGCAGCCGCGGUAAUACGGAGGGUGCAAGCGUUGUCCGGAAUCAUUGGGUGUAAAGGGUACGUAGGCGGGAGCCUAAGUCUGGGGUGAAAUCUUGCCGCUUAACGGUAAAAUGGCCCUGGAUACUGGGUUUCUUGAGUGCAGAAGAGGCAGGUGGAAUUCGUGGUGUAGCGGUGAAAUGCUUAGAUAUCACGAAGAACAUCAGUGGCGAAGGCGGCCUGCUGGUCUGCAACUGACGCUGAGGUACGAAAGCGUGGGGAGCGAACAGGAUUAGAUACCCUGGUAGUCCACGCCGUAAACGAUGCAUACUAGGUGUUGGCCUUAGGGCCAGUGCUGCAGUUAACGCAUUAAGUAUGCCACCUGGGGAGUACGUCGGCAACGAUGAAACUCAAAGGAAUUGACGG
RNAcentral lists this ribosomal RNA (576 nucleotides) under uncultured Bacteroidota bacterium. Its description in RNAcentral is "bacterial SSU rRNA". It matches the Rfam family "Bacterial small subunit ribosomal RNA", at positions 338 to 916 of the family's 1533-position model. Lineage: Bacteria; Pseudomonadati; Bacteroidota. The record is from RNAcentral.